CUUUAAAGUUGCGGCUAAUCAGCAAUCUCCUUUUUAAUCCGAUUAAGCACCAAAGCUUGUUUUCAAAAACAAUUUGCUCGCCCUCACCACUCCAGAUAAAAUAUACGCUAAUAUAUACUAAUAGUAAUAUGUUAAUGUAUUACCAUUCCAGAUAAAAAUAUAUGCUAAUGGUUCGAGUAAUGAGCAACCUUCUUUGCACGCUGAUGUCUUGCUGCGGAGACCAGGAUUCACUCACCCCGUUGGAUCCAGUGAGAUCAGCCAGUGCUACUAUGGCAAACAAAGACCGCAAAGCAUUGUCUGCUAAAGAUAAGGGGAAAAGUAGACAUUACAUUCACAGGGAGCAGGUUAAGCAGGCAAAGGAGCAAACUGUAGCAGGGUUUGAGCAGAAAACUAACAAGAGGUUGUAUGACAAGCCUCUUACUGCGAAACCAUCGCUCAGGAAAAAGAUUAAUUCUGCGGAGCCCGAAUCUCCGGGCGCAGAGAGUCCUAAGCCUGGCAGUGAGACUUCCUAAUCCUGCCAUAUUUGGUCAAGACAACAAUUGUAGAAUAAAAGAAAAAUACGACCAUCAACAAGGAUUCUCAAAUAAAAACUGGAAUUUCAGGAACACUCUUAUUCUUAUACUAUUUUCGCGAUUAACCUAUCCUUAUAGUUAUAGUUAUUGAGGAAAGUCACUAGUUUGACUCAGUAGUGGACUUGUGAAUGGAUCAAAUAGUUACAUAUUUAUAUGUUAGCAGUUUCUUUGCAAGUGCAAAUACAAAGAUAUAAUGUGAACAUUUAUAUUUGAAGUUGAAUCUGGAUUGAAAUAUGCCCAAAGAUAACAUUUUUUAGGCUUAAUGACUUCCUGAGGUGAAUUCUUUCAUUUCUAUAAAUACAAUCAAA
This is a long non-coding RNA of Bolinopsis microptera, 880 nucleotides long. RefSeq lists it as uncharacterized. NCBI's taxonomy places the organism in Eukaryota, Metazoa, Ctenophora, Tentaculata, Lobata, Bolinopsidae. The transcript has 3 exons. The record is from RefSeq and is a predicted model, not a curated record.